RNAcentral lists this ribosomal RNA (549 nucleotides) under uncultured Glomus. RNAcentral's name for it is "SSU rRNA". It matches the Rfam family "Eukaryotic small subunit ribosomal RNA", at positions 548 to 1098 of the family's 1831-position model. The record is from RNAcentral. Lineage: Eukaryota; Fungi; Glomeromycota; Glomeromycetes; Glomerales; Glomeraceae.
UUGGAGGGCAAGUCUGGUGCCAGCAGCCGCGGUAAUUCCAGCUCCAAUAGCGUAUAUUAAAGUUGUUGCAGUUAAAAAGCUCGUAGUUGAACUUCGGGACCGGUGGGUUGGUCGUGCCUCCGGUACGUACUGGCCCUACCGGUUCCUCCCUUCUGACGAACCACGAUGUCAUUAAUUUGGUGUCGUGGGGAAUCAGGACUGUUACUUUGAAAAAAUUAGAGUGUUUAAAGCAGGCUAAAGCUUGAAUAGAUUAGCAUGGAAUAACGAAAUAGGACGUUUGAUCUUAUUUUGUUGGUUUCUAAGAUCGACGUAAUGAUUAAUAGGGAUAGUUGGGGGCAUUAGUAUUCAAUUGUCAGAGGUGAAAUUCUUGGAUUUAUUGAAGACUAACUACUGCGAAAGCAUUUGCCAAGGAUGUUUUCAUUAAUCAAGAACGAAAGUUAGGGGAUCGAAGACGAUCAGAUACCGUCGUAGUCUUAACCAUAAACUAUGCCGACUAGGGAUCGGAUGAUGUUAAUUUUUUAAUGACUCAUUCGGCGCCUUACGGGAAAC